UACGGAGGGUGCAAGCGUUGUCUGGAUUUAUUGGGUUUAAAGGGUGCGUAGGCGGCCCGUUAAGUCAGUGGUGAAAGCCUCCAGCUCAACUGGAGAACUGCCAUUGAUACUGGCGGGCUUGAGUACAGACGAGGUAGGCGGAAUUGAUUGUGUAGCGGUGAAAUGCAUAGAUACAAUCAAGAACACCGAUUGCGUAGGCAGCUUACUAGGCUGUAACUGACGCUGAGGCACGAAAGCGUGGGGAGCGAACAGG
RNAcentral lists this ribosomal RNA (253 nucleotides) under uncultured bacterium. RNAcentral's name for it is "partial 16S ribosomal RNA". It matches the Rfam family "Bacterial small subunit ribosomal RNA", at positions 524 to 776 of the family's 1533-position model. The record is from RNAcentral.